AAAGAUUUUUUAAGGCCCCCCCUAUGGCAAUCGAAGCAGCCCUGACAAGAAAAACGAGAUAGUGUGCGGUUGAUCGGUCAUGCAAUCUGUCAAAUAUUCAAAAAAUAAAGUUUGUUUACAUUUUGAACCGAACGAUAGCUCUCACGAUGUACAACGGCGAAUGAUUAAAAAAAGGCUACAUCGGUGAUGAAAAUGUUGUGUGUAAUGUGUAAAAUAGACAGCCUUUAAAUUAUAAAUGGUGGUAGAAUCGACUUCGCACGCCUGAAAGCCGUUUAGGGUAAGUAAAACAAAGCUAAUAUUUGUAAUAUUAAAUCAAUUAAAGCGGUAUUUUCUAUGCAGCUGUUGUGCAACCGUGUUGAGCCGGCGAUAGUUAGAAAGAGGGAAGAAAGAAUGCCCGCAAUCAAACUAAACGAUGUUUGAUCAUGGAAAACAAGUUAAAAAGCAUACAAAGCUCGCUCGCCGUUGGACGCUUGGACAAUUACAUUAACAAUCAUUCGGUGAUCAGUUUGCGAAACGUCUUGCCGCACGCCUGGUACAGGCCCUUCUUGUCCGCGUCGGUAUCGAUCGUGGACUGAUCGUUCGGCAGCGUCAGCAUCAUCACCUUCAUCUGCGGGUAGUUGUGGUACGGCACAGUUCCGGUCGUCAUCUCGAUCGCGGUAAUGCCGAACGACUAGAAGCCGUAUCCGUGGUCCCGCUCCGUCUCCUCCAGCGCCAUCCAGCACGACGUGCCGAUAAACGUGUGGUACACCUUCUGCCGCGACAUGUCUCCAUCGGUGGCGAGCCACGCGCUCAUCCGCUAUAUUUAAGGAGCCGUCGUCGCCGGGCAGUAUGAUGGCCACCUUGAUGUCCACGUAAUGAGCAAUGCGAAAUGUGCUCUCAAUUGGCAAGCGCACAGCAAGAAACGUUACCGACAGUCUUUGUCGCCGUGAAAAUGCUUCUAAUGCACGGGUGAGUUGCAUUAUAACUACAAGCAUACGUUUUUUUUCCUUUCUUUAGUUUCAGCUAAUGCCAGACGAACGAUCGAAUGACUGUUGCUUCGGAAGGGAGGUCGCAUUACAGAUACCGACUUGGACAUGAUCCAGUCGGUCGGUUGCAGUUGUUCCAUGGUGCUUCGGAUAAGGCAACAACGGAGAAGCGCUCCGGACGCUCCGGAGAAGCUGAUCGAGAUCGGCGAAGCGGUGUAGUGUUGUGAUAUAGUGAUUGUGUGUACAUUUAAGGUGUAAAGGGUGAUUAAUGCUAGUAACGUUGUGUAAUGUUAUGCAGAACAAAAUGCAGCAUAAAUGGCGAUGAGCCAGCAUUGUUUAAAGGUGCCGGAUGUUAUACGUUAGAGCCGUUCUUUGUGGUGUGAUGUGUUAACAUAUUAAACCAGUAUUAGGAUUAGGAUAUAAUUAGGAUUUAAACCAGUGCCGUUGAAUAAAAUAGUGUACAACAGGUUAGAAAACAUUCGGUGUAUUUUGUUUUGUUUUUUUGAAGCUCUUUCGAUUACCUAUUACGGAAGCAAAUAUGUUUCACUAAUGUGCAAAAGGUAAGGAAUCAGUGAUCGCGUUGGUAGGUAAUUGCUCGUUUACGGUGUUUCUCCAUUUGUAUUUAUUGUUUCUCGCCCGCUGUGUUUGCUUCCCCAUUCCUCAUAAUGGUGCGUACGUUUCGUUAACAAUGUGCAUUAGAUGGUGAUGUUACAUGAUAAGUAAAUGUUGAGCAUGUUGGCGGGUUAAAAAAAAUAUUUUACUUGUCCUGCUCCGUUGGUUGUCUGGUUGUCUGGUUGUCUGGCUGGCUGGCUGGCUGGUUGGAUGGCAGAAUGGCUCACUGGCUGGUUAGUGCAGACUAUGAUCGGAUGCGCAUUUCCCUACGCCGUAGUGCCGGGUGCAUCAUACGUCGGUGUUGGGUUGCUGUUACUGGGCCGAGCGGAUGCGCGUGCACACGUGGGAAUAAACGACACGCAACCGUGGUGAUAUCACAGAAACUAUAUAUUUUGUUCUAUUUCAUCACAAAAAAAUUCUUGCCAUUAAUUUUUCUUUUUAGGUAUUUUAUAUUGCAUCGGUACGAUUAUCAUGUUCAAAGGCUUUAUCGAGAAAUGCCAAUACAUAAAUGGGUUAGUCCGUUUAUAUCGGUUUCUCAAACCCCUGCAAGCAAUGGUCAAUCAUUUCAGUCUUAAACUUUUGACGAACGAAUGCCUGGUCGCUAGCUGUAGCUUCCCAUCGAUGUAGGCACCCGAUCUUCGAGAUUUUACUUCACCUGAUCUAGCCAUCGAACUCGCUGUGCUUCCUUGCUUCUAGUACCGAACUGAGAGCCGCUCGAACACCUAGCUGCUGGGGCACGAGGAUGCCUUCUUCACAACAUGCUCCAGCCAUCGCAAACAGCCAUGUCCGGUGCGGCAUACGGCUUCAGUAAGCUCGUGGAUGAUCAUUCGCAUCCACACCCCAUGCUCGAAUUCACCGCCAAAGAUGAUCCGGAGGAUGCGUCGGCCAUCGUGUUUCGCCGCUGUCCUUUGCAUGCUGUAAAGAAACAUACCUAUUCAUCGUCGGCCAAUGGUGCAGCACGAGCGCAACGUGAUACAUCGUGACAUCAUCCGGAAAACUUGCAGCUGGGGCACGGUGGUGAUCUGAAGAUAGCUGAUUUCGGUUGGUCCGUGUACGAGCCGACCUUGUUCCGGUACGACGCGGUGCGUUUCGCACGACUAUUUAUCGCCCGAGAUGGUACAUGGUCAGCCGCACACAAAAACUGUCGAUCUAUGGAAUUUGGGCGUGCUGGCGUACAAGCUGCUGUGCGGUAAGGCCCCGUUUUUGGCGACCACGUAUGAAGAAUCGUACCGUAAAAUUAUGAAGCUGCAGUUUAAGAUGCCGCCAGAUGUAACGAAGCCGGCGGUCCAUCUGAUCUCGCGACUGUUCGUUAAGGAUCUGGCCAGCCGUAUGCCGCUGACACAUGUUGCGACCAUCCCUGGAUUCUGCUGCAUGUGCACAAAAAGUAAAUAGGUACUGGUGCUACCAUGUACCAUUUAUCGUUAUGUUCUAACUAAGUAUGUUUAUAAGAUACCUGUACCUUUUAGUUUUUUAAACCCUAUCUCUUAUAAGAAGUAGUGGUAUUUGAAUUUAAUAUGAACAAGGCAAGUGUAAUGAUAAGUAAUGAUAAUUGUUAUUUGUGUGUUCACUCAAUUGUUAUUAUACUUUCUUCAUGUUCAACAUCUAUUAUUAUUUCAAUUAUUAACAAUAAAAUAUGGCAAAAUAUUUUUUAAGCUAUAGAUCGUCUUUGUAUUGAAUGAGUGCAAUUGAUGGGUGAAUGAAUGCAAACAUUAUGAUGAUCAAGACCGUGACCAGCCUCUCGGGGUGCCUUUGGUGUCUCAGUUCUGUAUAGAGGAGAGCGUAGAAGGGUAUGGCUAUAUUCUUUUCGGCGCUGCCAUGCACCUUUCGGUGCAACGAUAAGAUAGAGUUAAUGUUUUUUUGCACCACUGAAGCACACACCAACCAGCACACACCAACCAGUGAUUGACUAUCCGGUUAGGUGAUACGAAUAAGUCUUGUAAGCAUUUAUACAUAACGUCAGCAUGACCACGUUUGUCGGCUGUAGCGGAAAUAAAGCAUAACAAUUAUUUAUUUGUUACGAUAUAAAUAGGAAGAAAGUGCAACGCUGUGCGGUCCCGUGAUACAGUCAUCAAUUCGUACGACCUAAUAACAUGCCUGUCAUGUGUUCAAAACUCAUACGGUCCGUCCCCCCGUAGCAAGGAUCAAUUAUCCUCAACUAAACUAAACUAAACUAAACUAUCCGGCUGCGUGGUACCAAAUCAGUUUCGAAAGCCUGUACAGGUCGACAUGUUCGCAUCGUUAAGCCAAAAAGAAAGAAAGUGCUGCGUUGUCGUGAUCGAUACGGUAAAAGUGCUUCCGUCUUAACAGAAGGUGCUCUAUCAUCUACCAAAAUUGUUGUGUGAGAAAUGGAACUAGCUUGCAAAAAGGUUUGGUCAGUCUGAUUCAUGAAAAAAAAAAUCAAAAUAGUUAGGUGUUUUUACUUCUCUUUUUCCGUUUUGGACAUAACUGUUCUCACUAAUGGUAUGCCUGUACCACUAAUUGAUUUAUCAAUGUAAUUAAGCUAUUGAUUACCCACAUCAGGAUAGUCAGUCCUAUGUAUGAGGGGGGCGGUCCAUACGGGACUUGAGCCCAUGACGAGCAUGUUGUUUGGAAAACUAGUUUAGUGCAUAACAAUAAACUUAUUUUCCUUCAUUGAAGAACAGAGAAGCUGUUGUGGUCCGAUCGAACUUACCCAUUCUGUCCAUCUGGGUAUGCCACUCAGCGAUAGCAGUCGACGGCUUCCGUAUGAUGUGUGCGUGGAAGGAUGUGCGUGAGUUACAGGUCGCUGACCAGACGAUUGAGAGAGAGAUAGUGCAAAAUAGAGGGAGAUCUAACCUACAGCGCACAUGUAGUGAGUAUUCAAAUAGGACUAACGGGCCCGUGCUAUUCAUUUAUAAUUAGGGAAUAAAGGAUUUUAUAUGUUUGUGUCAAUGCAAAGUAAUCGUUUUCAUCAUUGUAGUAACGUCCAUGCAUCCGACAUCAAAGAAGCCAAAGCAAUCAGAAACCGAUUGAAGAUUUUAAAGCUCGCAGGCCACAGCGGGCAUUAAGCACUGUUGUGGAAGGUCAGUGUUUUACGAACAAGAGCCCAACUGAAUAGGAAAGGACUGUUCAAAGGGGAGUGGUUAGUACCAACAUGUGAUCGUCCUGAUGAUAGUUUUAAGAGUGUGUUCCUUUAGUCAAAUAAUUAUUGUUUAAAAUACGGUCGAGUAAAAUACGUAUGUUUGUCAAUGAUAAUAAAAGGUCAAGGCUAAGUAUGUAGAGAGAAAAAAUAAAUAAAUAAAUAAAUAAAAAUAAAACAUAGUCAACCGAUCCUGUUAGUAUACGAUCGUCAGCAAUUGACGUCGCAUUCCAGCUAGCACCACGAGGAGGUAGGAUUCGGAGUUCCAAGAUAGCGGUUGCAUAAUAAUACAUCCGCUUCCUGGCAUUAGCUAGCCAGCUGGAAAGAGCUCGAUGAAUUUAAAGUGUUUAAAAAUACGAAGAACAAUAUGUUAAUACUUACUCAAACUCCUGAACUGAUUGGAUGGCACGCAAGAUGGUAAUGAAAUUGUUGGGCUGGGCUCGCUUAAGCUGGUACUCGCGUAUAUAUUCUAUUAAUGCUCCCCGGUUUGUGCCUUUAGAUCUUAAAAAGGGCUUGACACAGCGCCAUAAAUUCUCGAUGGUCUGUGUGUGUACUAAUGGAUCGCUUGGGUCGACAAAAUUUUCGGAAUGGUUUAUCAUCUCGUGCUCAUACCCUUUUCCGUCUAGUCCGAUGUAGGCACGCCAACCAUCCGUCACAAUUGUCGUUCCGGGGGCCACAUUGUUCAUUAUAAUGCCCUGCAAGUUGCCAGCGUCGCGUUUCUGAACCAGCUCCAGAAAAAUCUCUUUUGUCUCCCGACAAAUACCACCGACCAGCCAAACCUGGUUGUUGUCCGCGAUCCGUCCUCUGUGGUACUUCCGUUUGGUAAUGACGGACUCGUCGAUCUCCACAGUGAGCCCUUCGCCUCCGAUCUGUUGUCGGUGGGUUUCCACAUAUUCAGCGCUUAUUUCACGGAGUAUUUUGAACCAUUUUAGAAUGGCUGUCUUACCUACAAUGAGAUAAAAAUAAAACAAAACAAAAAAUUUAUCAAAACCGACUGAUUGAAAAAAAUACUAAAAAUAAAUUACCGGCUGCACAUUCAGCUUCCGCAACCAUCCGCGUCGUAUUUCGAGACCACUCGAAGGUUAUCUCCAUCAACUGGGAUAGAGACAGCCUCGAAUUUUUGAAAAUACUAUCCGUGCGGACAGUACAUUCCCAGCCGGUGCAGCUCGAUGUAGGCUUGCAAAUCCAUUUGCAAGCAUUGAAGCGCUUGGUUACCUUCAGCUUCAUUUGUCU
This is a long non-coding RNA of Anopheles coluzzii, 5907 nucleotides long. RefSeq lists it as uncharacterized. The transcript has 3 exons. Lineage: Eukaryota; Metazoa; Arthropoda; Insecta; Diptera; Culicidae. The record is from RefSeq and is a predicted model, not a curated record.